RNAcentral lists this ribosomal RNA (402 nucleotides) under Triticum aestivum (bread wheat). RNAcentral describes it as "partial small subunit ribosomal RNA". Lineage: Eukaryota; Viridiplantae; Streptophyta; Magnoliopsida; Poales; Poaceae. The record is from RNAcentral.
AUGCUUCAACGUUGUGGGUGGCCAAACUGCAAUCUUUGACCACUAUGCAAACAGGUGUAGGAGUCGGCAGCCCACCUUCUAUUCCAAUGCCAAUACACUAUCAGAGUUUGGCGAAUGGUCAAAGAUUGGCUUGGUCUUCAUGAUGUGCAUCCUUCUGAUUGGAGUAGUGCGACUUACAUCAAAAAGUGGUGGAGCCACAAUGCUAACAAAAACACUCAAUCGCGAAGGCCACUUGCUUCCUUGAUGUUGCUCAUCUCUUGGGAGUUGUGGAAAGAGAGGAAUGCACGAAUCUUUCGUAACAAUGUCGUACCAGUGGGUGUCAUCGUCGCUAGGAUUAAAGAUGAGACCUCGCUUUGGAGCAUUACAGGGGCAAAGCACUUGAGUAAUGUAAUGCCGCGAUAG